UCAUAAGUUCAUGGUUCAACACCAUGGAUCUCCAGGUGGGUCAAGAUUAUAGAGAUACACCAACCUGGAGGACUCCAUGCUGUUGAGCUGUUCACAA
This 97-nucleotide microRNA precursor is filed under the name Antrostomus carolinensis (chuck-will's-widow). RNAcentral's name for it is "Caprimulgus carolinensis (chuck-will's-widow) mir-490 microRNA precursor family". It matches the Rfam family "mir-490 microRNA precursor family". RNAcentral also lists the same sequence under 1 other name. Lineage: Eukaryota; Metazoa; Chordata; Aves; Caprimulgiformes; Caprimulgidae. The record is from Rfam by way of RNAcentral.